GCUUUUUCCUAGCUAAAUUUAGAGUAAUUUUGAACUUAGAAGUCGGGAGGAUUCACGCCGGAUAUAAAGAAAAUGAAUUUAUUUUUAAUUCCAACAAAAAUGAUUUACAAAAACAUUUAUAAAUUUAGUUAUUGAAUUUAUGUGCGUCGCAUAUUUAUUUAAAGCAUUUUCACGAGCUUUUAGUCAGCAAACCCUGAAGAAUUAUUACAGUUUUUAUAGUACAACCCGGAAGAUUUUUUUUAUUUUAUUUUAUUUUAUUUUAUUCCACUACUCCCACCUACUCUCCACCUUUCCUCCCACUUUCCCUUCCACUACUCCCACCACCAACUUCCACUGCACCUUUCCUUCCACUUAUUCCAUCAACCACCGACUCCCUCACAAUUUUAUAUCACCUUCCCUUUACACCACUAUACCAACUAAAACAUUUUAUAUCAGCUAAGGGAAGCUUUAACUCUGUUUCAAACAAAUCACCACAAUUUAUUCUCACAAGAAAAACGCAGAUGGAGGGCCUUAUUCACCAAAUUCCCUCUUUCAAGAACAGAACUUGAACUUACAAAGUUUUUGUUGCUGCAUGCUUUCACACCACAAGAAGCUUGGUUUUAAAGGACUCUCCCUCAACAGAUCAACAAAUCAGUAUCACAAGGUUUUCUCCACACUGAAUAGAUCCUAGACCUUGCCUUAAAUAUUUAUUUUCGCAACAAUUGUUUUAGAACUCAA
RNAcentral lists this long non-coding RNA (717 nucleotides) under Salvia miltiorrhiza (redroot sage). RNAcentral describes it as "long non-coding RNA (SMIL_LNC011704)". Lineage: Eukaryota; Viridiplantae; Streptophyta; Magnoliopsida; Lamiales; Lamiaceae. The record is from RNAcentral.